This 467-nucleotide ribosomal RNA is filed under the name uncultured bacterium. Its description in RNAcentral is "partial 16S ribosomal RNA". It matches the Rfam family "Bacterial small subunit ribosomal RNA", at positions 28 to 506 of the family's 1533-position model. The record is from RNAcentral.
GACGAACGCUGGCGGCGUGCUUAACACAUGCAAGUCGAACGGAAAGGCCCUGCUUUUGUGGGGUGCUCGAGUGGCGAACGCGUGAGUAACACGUGAGUAACCUGCCCUUGACUUUGGGAUAACUUCAGGAAACUGGGGCUAAUACCGGAUAGGAGCUCCUGCUGCAUGGUGGGGGUUGGAAAGUUUCGGCGGUUGGGGAUGGACUCGCGGCUUAUCAGCUUGUUGGUGGGGUAGUGGCUUACCAAGGCUUUGACGGGUAGCCGGCCUGAGAGGGUGACCGGCCACAUUGGGACUGAGAUACGGCCCAGACGCCUACGGGAGGCAGCAGUGGGGAAUAUUGCACAAUGGGCGGAAGCCUGAUGCAGCAACGCCGCGUGCGGGAUGACGGCCUUCGGGUUGUAAACCGCUUUCGCCUGUGACGAAGCGUGAGUGACGGUAAUGGGUAAAGAAGCACCGGCUAACUACGU